This is an unclassified non-coding RNA of Mesocricetus auratus (golden hamster), 311 nucleotides long. Its record names the gene 7SK. It matches the Rfam family "7SK RNA". From Rfam's summary of the family: 7SK was discovered as an abundant small nuclear RNA in the mid-70s but a possible function has only recently been suggested. Two independent studies have found that 7SK RNA binds the CDK9/cyclin T complex (known as elongation factor P-TEFb). The record is from Ensembl. Lineage: Eukaryota; Metazoa; Chordata; Mammalia; Rodentia; Cricetidae.
GAAAUAGAAACACGAUCUGGCUGCGACAUCUGUCACCCUAUUGAUCGCCAGGGUUGAUUCAGCUGAUCUGGCUGGCUAGGCGGGUGUCCCCUUCCUCCCUCACUGCUCCAUGUGUGUCCCUCCCGAAGCUUCGAGCUGGGUCGAAGAGGACGACCUUCCACGAAUACAGGAGGACCAGUCUUCGGUAAAGGGUUUACGAGUAGCUGCGCUCCCCUGCUAGAACCUCCAAACAAGCUCUCAAGGUCCAAACACACAAAAAUGUAAAGAGCAACACAAAGAGUUAGUUCUUUGAGAAAAUCAAUAUGAUCAAU